AGCUCCAAUAGUAUAUAUUAAAGUUGUUGCAGUUAAAAAGCUCGUAGUUGAAUUUCCGGCUGGUUACAGCCUGUCUGUAAGGGUGUUGGAUACCGUAAAAAGUUUCUGGCUCACGAACAGACUUUUACUGUGAAAAAAUUAGAGUGCUUAAAGCAGGCUUUUGCUUGAAUAGUUCAGCAUGGAAUAAUAAAAGACGACUUCAGUCAUUUUAUUGGUUAUUGACAGAAGUAAUGAUUAACAGAAACAGAUGGGGGCAUUCGUAUUUGAUAGUCAGAGGUGAAAUUCUUAGAUUUAUCAAAGACGAACUAAUGCGAAAGCAUUUGCCAAGAAUGUUUUCA
RNAcentral lists this ribosomal RNA (338 nucleotides) under uncultured eukaryote. Its description in RNAcentral is "SSU rRNA". It matches the Rfam family "Eukaryotic small subunit ribosomal RNA", at positions 587 to 972 of the family's 1831-position model. The record is from RNAcentral.